UCCCCCUGGUCUUGUGGGUGCGUCUUGUUUCCUKGGUGGGUUCGCCCACCACUAGGACAAACAUAAACCUUUUGUAAUUGCAAUCAGCGUCAGUAACAAAUUAAUAAUUACAACUUUCAACAACGGAUCUCUUGGUUCUGGCAUCGAUGAAGAACGCAGCGAAAUGCGAUAAGUAGUGUGAAUUGCAGAAUUCAGUGAAUCAUCGAAUCUUUGAACGCACAUUGCGCCCUUUGGUAUUCCAAAGGGCAUGCCUGUUCGAGCGUCAUUUGUACCCUCAAGCUUUGCUUGGUGUUGGGCGUCUUGUCUCUAGCUUUGCUGGAGACUCGCCUUAAAGUAAUUGGCAGCCGGCCUACUGGUUUCGGAGCGCAGCACAAGUCGCACUCUCUAUCAGCAAAGGUCUAGCAUCCAUUAAGCCUUUUUUUCAACUUUUGACCUCGGAUCAGGUAGGGAUACCCGCUGAACUUAAGCAUAUCAAUAAGCCGGAGGAAAGAAUCAUUACAAAAAUAUCAAGGGGGGCUGGAAACCUCUUGGGGUUUCAGCCUUGGCUAAAAAUAUUCACCCUUCUCUCUUUGCGUUACUUCGUGGUUUCCCUGGGUGGGUUCCACCA
RNAcentral lists this ribosomal RNA (607 nucleotides) under Alternaria brassicae. Its description in RNAcentral is "eukaryotic LSU rRNA". The stretch from base 112 to 265 matches the Rfam family "5.8S ribosomal RNA". Lineage: Eukaryota; Fungi; Ascomycota; Dothideomycetes; Pleosporales; Pleosporaceae. The record is from RNAcentral.